AUUGAACGCUGGCGGCAUGCCUUACACAUGCAAGUCGAACGGCAGCACGGGAGCAAUCCUGGUGGCGAGUGGCGAACGGGUGAGUAAAGUAUCGGAACGUGCCCAAUCGUGGGGGAUAACGUAGCGAAAGUUACGCUAAUACCGCAUACGAUCUAUGAAUGAAAGCGGGGGAUCGCAAGACCUCGCGCGAUUGGAGCGGCCGAUAUCAGAUUAGGUAGGUGGUGGGGUAAAGGCUCACCAAGCCGACGAUCUGUAGCUGGUCUGAGAGGACGACCAGCCACACUGGGACUGAGACACGGCCCAGACUCCUACGGGAGGCAGCAGUGGGGAAUUUUGGACAAUGGGCGAAAGCCUGAUCCAGCCAUGCCGCGUGCAGGAUGAAGGCCUUCGGGUUGUAAACUGCUUUUGUACGGAACGAAAAGGUUUGGCCUAAUAAGCUGAGCUCAUGACGGUACCGUAAGAAUAAGCACCGGCUAACUACGUGCCAGCAGCCGCAGUAA
RNAcentral lists this ribosomal RNA (500 nucleotides) under uncultured bacterium. RNAcentral describes it as "partial 16S ribosomal RNA". It matches the Rfam family "Bacterial small subunit ribosomal RNA", at positions 30 to 523 of the family's 1533-position model. The record is from RNAcentral.